GAUGAACGCUGGCGGCGUGCCUAAUACAUGCCAGUCGAGCGAACAGACGAGGAGCUUGCUCCUUCGACGUUAGCGGCGGACGGGUGAGUAACACGUAGGUAACCUACCUAUAAGACUGGGAUAACUUCGGGAAACCGGAGCUAAUACCGGAUAAUAUUUCGAACCGCAUGGUUCGAUAGUGAAAGAUGGCUUUGCUAUCACUUAUAGAUGGACCUGCGCCGUAUUAGCUAGUUGGUAAGGUAACGGCUUACCAAGGCAACGAUACGUAGCCGACCUGAGAGGGUGAUCGGCCACACUGGAACUGAGACACGGUCCAGACUCCUACGGGAGGCAGCAGUAGGGAAUCUUCCGCAAUGGGCGAAAGCCUGACGGAGCAACGCCGCGUGAGUGAUGAAGGUCUUCGGAUCGUAAAACUCUGUUAUUAGGGAAGAACAAACGUGUAAGUAACUGUGCACGUCUUGGCGGUACCUAAUCAGAAAGCCACGGCUAACUACGU
RNAcentral lists this ribosomal RNA (496 nucleotides) under uncultured bacterium. Its description in RNAcentral is "partial 16S ribosomal RNA". It matches the Rfam family "Bacterial small subunit ribosomal RNA", at positions 28 to 506 of the family's 1533-position model. The record is from RNAcentral.